AUGGCAAGAGAACUCCAUGUUGUGAUUCUUCCAUGGUCUGCCUUUGGCCAUAUAAUCCCUUUGGUUGAACUCUCCAAAGCCUUAGCAAAAGCCAACAUUCAUGUCUCCUUCAUAUCUACCCCCAAAAACAUCCAAAGGCUCCCCAAAAUCCCACCUGAGUUACAGUCUCUCAUAACAAUGGUGCCCUUUCCUUUGCCAGCUUGGGAUGCUGAUCGGCUCGAAGGCGCCGAGGCCACGGUGGACAUACCUUUCGAGAAGAUGGACGACUUGAAGGUUGCAUUUGAUCUUCUAAAACAACCCUUUAAGCAGUUCAUUGCUGAUCAAGUACCAGAUUGGAUCAUCAGCGACUUCGCUGCUCACUGGGCGGUUGACGUGUCCAAAGAGUACGGUGUUCCUCUUGCCUACUUCUCUCCUUUCUCUGCUGCUAAUAACGUCUUCUGUGGUUCACCGGAAUAUCUCUUUAAUGCUCCGCCGUCACCGGAAGUCUUCACCUCCCCACCGGAGUGGGUUCCUUUUCCGUCUUUGGUAGCACUCAAGGGAUUUGAGGCAGUCCGUUGGCAUGCAGGCGUUUAUACUGUGAAUCGUUCUGGGAUAUCUGAUGCUGCAAGGUUUGCCAAGAUUGUGGCAGGAUGUCAAGUACUAGCUGUUCGUAGUUGCAAUGAGAUUGAAAGAGAGUACUUGGAGUUGCAUGCGAAACUCACCGGAAAACCAGUGAUUCCCACAGGUCUGCUACCUCCAAAGAAUUCAAAAAGGGAGUCGGGGAAUAAUGAUGUGACAUUUGAUUGGCUUGAUAAACAGAAACCCAGGUCAGUUGUGUUUGUAGGGUUUGGGAGUGAGUGUAAGCUGAGCAAGGAGCAAGUGUAUGGGAUAGCUCAUGGUCUGGAGCUUUCAGAGUUGCCAUUUCUCUGGGCACUCAGAAAGCCCAGUUGGGCUAGUACUGAUGCUGAGGCUCUACCUCUAGGUUUUAUUGACAGAACAUCAAAGAAAGGCCUUGUUUGCUUGGGAUGGGUGCCACAAAUCGAAAUCCUGGGGCAUCCAUCAGUUGGGGGCUCUCUGUUUCACGCUGGAUGGGGUUCUGUGAUUGAAACUCUGCAAUUUGGGCACUGCCUUGUUGUGUUACCCUUCAUUAUUGAUCAGCCUCUGAAUGCAAGGCUUCUGGUGGAGAAGGGUCUGGCUGCCGAAGUGGAACGCAACGAAGAUGGGUCGUUUACUGGGGAUGACAUAUCGAAAACGCUGAGGCUGGCAAUGGUGGAAGAGGAAGGAGAGCAGCUGAGAAUCAAUGCAAGGAAAGCUGCUAGUUUUUUUUGGAGAUGAGAAGCUGCAGCAUGACCACUACCUUGGUGCAUUUGUUGAUUAUCUGAAGAAUAAUGGCAGGAAAAGGUCUUAUUCCUAG
Molecule: RNA transcript, 1393 nt
Organism: Fragaria vesca subsp. vesca
Lineage: Eukaryota; Viridiplantae; Streptophyta; Magnoliopsida; Rosales; Rosaceae
Gene name: putative UDP-rhamnose:rhamnosyltransferase 1-like
Exons: 1
Source: RefSeq, a predicted model, not a curated record